This is a non-coding RNA of Trichechus manatus latirostris (Florida manatee), 556 nucleotides long. Lineage: Eukaryota; Metazoa; Chordata; Mammalia; Sirenia; Trichechidae. The record is from the annotation of a RefSeq genome assembly.
ACAAUUGCCUGGGGAAGGAGAGAAGACAAUCUGAGUCUUCACAGGAAGAAUGGACAAGCUCCUGGGAGCAUUACUGUUGAUUCUAUGGCUUCAGUCAGACUGGGCCAAUAGUCAACCAAAGAAGAAGGAUGACCAGCAGGUUAAGCAAAGUCCCCCAUCCCGGAAGACCCAGGAAGGAGAAAUUUCCAUUUUCAACUGUGAUUACAAUAAUGAUCUGUUUGAUUACUUCGUGUGGUACAAAAAAUCCCCUGGUAAAGGCCCUGCCCUCCUCAUAUCUAUACAUUCAGGUGCGGAUGGAAAUGAAGAGGGAAGAUUCACAGUCUUCCUCAAUAAAAGUGCCAAACACCUCUCUCUGCAUAUUGCGGCCUCCCAGCCUGGAGACUCCGCCACUUACUUCUGCGCAGCAAGUGCACAGUGCUCUGCAGGCACCUGUAGCCUGUACCCAAACCUGCAGAUGGGGUCCAAGCCAACCCUUACUUUGGGGUCUCAGACUGGGAGGGCCACAGACUUGCUUCCAUUUACACACAACAGCAUGCAAGGGUGUGCUUUAAAGUAG